Molecule: long non-coding RNA, 550 nt
Organism: Alligator sinensis (Chinese alligator)
Lineage: Eukaryota; Metazoa; Chordata; Crocodylia; Alligatoridae
Exons: 3
Source: RefSeq, a predicted model, not a curated record
UGUUUUGUGGAAGCAUCUACUGGGCCUAUCGUAUGGAGGAAAAAACAAACCACUGUUGUGGGUAAAGAGAAACUUCAUAUGAAGAAAGUGACUGGGAAGUAUUAGAAAGGAAUGGAUUUAACAAAGGAGACUAUAACUGUUAGGAAACGGAACUCCUGGCUUCACACUAUGGGCCCUGAAAGGUUUACUUCUGCAUCUUUUAUUUGCGUGGGUUUUCCUACGAAGUCAAUGGGACCAUGGAAUGGGUAACAGUGGCAUGAGUGAGAAAGAAAAUAAGGAAAUUCUCAGAGUCCAUUAUUUAUGGAGGUGUUGAGCAUGACAACAAUAAUGAAAUGGAGGCUGUACUUCAAGAUCAUGGCUCCUGGAGAAUGAUAGACUUCAGCAAAUGGAAAUUAGUGCCUGACUUUGAUCUUACCCUGGAUUAUUUAAACCUCAGGCAGAAGUUCAUUUUAUGAAAACUGUAAUGGCCUGUUUUGUCAGGAAACACAAAUGUUCUUUUUAGGGAUUCAAACAACAUUAUAUAUCGAAAAGCACAAGACAGUAAAAAAGA